UGUAGGAAUAUUCUGCUAAAUCUCAGUAGGAACAGUAGAGCUUGUGAUGUUUGAGCCACGACCCUCUCCCCUCUGGCUCUGUGUGAUGAGGGCUCUACUCUCCGGCAGGUGAUUCUUCCUCCGUGCCUGUCCACCUGUGCCAUGGAACAACUGGGCCCUUGACCUUCGAGAGUCUGGAUUUUAGAGUCUCUUUCCCUUCCACUCCCGAAAAAGAAAGGAUGAAAUGACCCUCAGCGCUUGCCACGUGCCAGCCGCCAUAUUUGGUCCUGUAUCAACUCCGAGUUUCCCAUGCUUCAGCCAUUCAGGACUUGUGGCGAGUCACCUGGCGAGUCAAAUCCGGGUCAGACAAAAGCAACCGGACCCACGCUGACCGACUGCUGUGAGGAGCAGGCUGAUGGGAAGCUG
This 405-nucleotide long non-coding RNA is filed under the name Zalophus californianus (California sea lion). Its description in RNAcentral is "lncRNA (ENSZCAG00015009888.1)". Lineage: Eukaryota; Metazoa; Chordata; Mammalia; Carnivora; Otariidae. The record is from RNAcentral.